AACUUUUAACAACGGAUCUCUUGGUUCUCGCAUCGAUGAAGAACGUAGCAAAGUGCGAUAACUAGUGUGAAUUGCAUAUUCAGUGAAUCAUCGAGUCUUUGAACGCAACUUGCACUCUAUGGUUUUCCGUAGAGUACGCUUGCUUCAGUAUCAUAA
Molecule: ribosomal RNA, 156 nt
Filed under: Rhizopus sexualis
Lineage: Eukaryota; Fungi; Mucoromycota; Mucoromycetes; Mucorales; Rhizopodaceae
Description: 5.8S ribosomal RNA
Rfam family: 5.8S ribosomal RNA
About the family: 5.8S ribosomal RNA (5.8S rRNA) is a component of the large subunit of the eukaryotic ribosome. It is transcribed by RNA polymerase I as part of the 45S precursor that also contains 18S and 28S rRNA.
Source: RNAcentral